RNAcentral lists this ribosomal RNA (98 nucleotides) under Deltaproteobacteria bacterium. RNAcentral's name for it is "partial 23S ribosomal RNA". It matches the Rfam family "Bacterial large subunit ribosomal RNA", at positions 2834 to 2925 of the family's 2925-position model. Lineage: Bacteria; Pseudomonadati; Myxococcota; Myxococcia. The record is from RNAcentral.
GCCGUCGAAGACGACGACGUCGAUAGGUCGGAGGUGUAAGCGCCGCAAGGCGUUGAGCUGACCGAUACUAAUCGCCCGUGCGGCUUGGUCGUUCUUUU